Molecule: ribosomal RNA, 253 nt
Filed under: uncultured bacterium
Lineage: Bacteria
Description: partial 16S ribosomal RNA
Rfam family: Bacterial small subunit ribosomal RNA
Source: RNAcentral
UACGAAGGGGGCUAGCGUUGUUCGGAAUCACUGGGCGUAAAGCGCACGUAGGCGGAUGUGCCAGUCAGGGGUGAAAUCCCGGAGCUCAACUCCGGAACUGCCUCUGAUACAGCACGUCUUGAGUUCGAGAGAGGUGGGUGGAAUUCCACGUGUAGCAGUGAAAUGCGCAGAGAUGUGGAGGAACACCGAUGGCGAAGGCGGCUUUCUGGGCCUUACCUGACGCUGAGGAGCGAAAGCUGGGGGAGCGAACAGG